Apis mellifera (honey bee) is the source of this 4703-nucleotide long non-coding RNA. RefSeq lists it as uncharacterized. NCBI's taxonomy places the organism in Eukaryota, Metazoa, Arthropoda, Insecta, Hymenoptera, Apidae. The transcript is spliced from 3 exons. The record is from RefSeq and is a predicted model, not a curated record.
AAUCGAGUGGAGAAUUCUUUUUUUUUUUAAUUAAAUUUUAAUAGGGAAAUGCGGUUGUGCUUGUUUGCGCGACGAGAUUUCUGAAACAAUCGUACAAAUUAUAAUUAAUAAUUUAAUAAAUAUUAAUAUUGCCGAUGUUGUACCGUUAAUAUUUCAUUUCGAAAUGAAUAUUGCGUUAAAAUUAUUUUCGCAUUUUAAUAUUUUGUAUUUAACGCGUUACACGUUGAUAAGCUGUAGUUAAAAACAUCAAAGCGCAAAAAGUUUGAAUCGUUAUAUAACAUGUACACGCGUACGCGUUUAAUUUUUCAUUUAUUAACAACAAGCUUAUUCAUUCCAUUCCCUUUGGAAAAGUGUGUUUCUAAUAUUUUCGAGAUAAUUUAUUUCUCGACCGAAUCUUUUACUUCCGAUAUUUUAUUAUAAAAUAGAAAGGUUCGUGUAUUCGUUCGCGGAAAAAUUGUUUAAGGGAAUUGAGAAGUACGCGUAAUAGCGCGGAGGGAAAUCCGGGGGAUUCAAAAUGGAAAUUAGUUACGAAUUCAUGUUUUAAUUCCAAUUAGCUUUUUUUGUAAUUAUUUCAUAUUCGCGAGGAGGGACGUUACAACGAGUUCUACUCACUCGGAUUUUUCUACAUUAACGUGAAAAUUCAUUUUCAAAAAUAUCAUAAUUGAUAAUAUCAUUUAAUUUCAAACUGCACUGCUCCCAUUUAAUGUAAGCGAUAUCUUCUUCCACGAUUAACAUUGUUAAUCACAAUCAAAUCAGGGAUAUUAUUUUCGUUUCAAUCGAUUGAUUUACCUUCCGUCGACUUAAUAACAUUUAAUAGCGCGUUUCGUGUAUUCUUGGGCGUACAAUUUUAUCGAGAAAAAUUGUUAAAACAUGUUCUUAUACUCGAUCUUUUUUUUUUCUUUUUUCUUUUUUUUUUUUACAAGAAGAAUGUUACAACAAGCCUAUAAUAUUUUCACUCAACACGGUUAGCGGUUACAGUUAUUCUUAAACCGUGUAAAAAUGUCAAGGACCUUUUCAGCUUACACACAGCCACAUUGAGUGUUCUCGAUUGCUCGGGAAAAUCAAUAUUUAUAACCAGGAAGAUGGUUGGGAAACAGUCCGACGUACGUAACAUCGGAAAUGAGAUUAUAUCGACGUGAUAUCUCGUCGAUUUUUUAUCAUCUAUAAUAUUUAUAUUUACGCAACGAAAUCCCUUUCGUUUCGUAUCACAGUUCGAUUAUUCUUCUUUUUUUUUUAAUAACGUCAAUAUACAUAAUUGAAACCUUACAAGCAAAAUUUCAUUUUCAUCUGAUAUUUGUAAUUUCAUUCCCACUUUUGUACAUUUCCGAAAGAAGGAAACAAAUUUAUUUAAUCGAAAUUGAUAACGUGUAAUUGAAUAAUAAACCAAAUUGUUUGACAUUAUUUCGAAUAAAGUGAUCACACACUAUUUCAAAAAGAUGUUAAGAGAUGUUUGGAAUCAAUUAUUAUAUUUUGAAAAAUUCUAGAUAAUCUAAUAACGCAUUCGAAUAAUAAUUUGUAAUAAUACAAUCCUUCUUUUUUACCAAUGUUUCACUUUUUGCUUUUAAUUCUCCGCUUUAACACUUGAAUAGAUCCCAAUUCAAUAGAUAACAAACAAGAUGGACGAUGGGAUAGGAAGAUUAACUUUCUUCCUUCGAAAUUUAUUUCUUCCUUUCUUUAUGCUUGAAUCUGAUACAAUACUUGUUUCCUGAUUCUAUGUUUUCAACAACACGCGAAGAUAUCAUGGUCGAAUUAACGAAUUCCAUGGAUGGAAGCGAUGCCCAAGGAUCGGGCAUCGGCCAAAACCACCUCGGUUACGCCGAGAGGUCCAAUUCCAUAAAACCCGAAAAUGUUGGUACCCGGCAAACAAACUCCUUGUCUGGUUAACUUUCUCUGUAAACGCCGUAUGGAUGUUGGCGACGAGUUGUAAGUUCGACCGGGUAACCCGUUUACUCCUGUUACACUUGGUUGUGUAUGGGCGAGAUGGAACCUCGUUCAAAUCAAUUGAUAUCGCGCGUGGCUCCCGUACAAAUAUCGCUUAAACCAAAAGUUUGUUCACAAGUUUGACGCCGUUGACGCGCGAAAUGGCUGGAUUCUCGACUGCAGUUUAACACGGUGCUUUAUGUAUUUGCGGAAAAUUUAAAUUGUACGAAAUUUUGUAAAUUUCGCGUCACGAUGUUUCAAAGCAGGAUCAGACAGGUUUAAAUUUCCGUUCAAAUUUCGACGAUAAUUUAAUUAUAAAAUUGUACGAUGUUUUUUCUAAGAUCUUUAUUCAUUCGCAUUUUAUAUCCAUUUAACGCAAUGUUUUCGUUAAUGUAAUAUUAAUUCUAUUGAAUGAAAUCAAUGGAUAGAUCGAUAUGCAAUUUCCAUUGAUUCUCUCUCUCUUUCUCUCUGAUAAAGUAAACUAUUUCGAAUGCGUGACAGAACAUCUUUGUUCGUACUAUUAAAUUUAUCUUAAGAUAGUGAAAUAUAUAUAUCUCGAAGAAACGUGUGCUUCUGUGCGAUUACACAAAGUCGAGAUUAUUCCCUCUUCGAAUCCAAUAAAUACACGGGACAUGGUAAAAUACGUGUUUAAAAGUAUUUGUAGCAGGGUUUGUAGGGCAUUAUUGGAGGUCCCUGGCUCGACACAUGUAUCGCGGUUUAAUCAAGAUAACUUCGAGAUAGAAUUUAUUACAUACCGGCGAAAAAUAAACUAAACUACGAAAUCUGAUUGGCCAAUUGAAAGCCAAAUUCGUUACGAAAUUUAAUUCUUUUAGCUACGAGAAUAUUUUAUACCCAGCUUGAAUACGGAUUUUCGAUUAAAUUCUUUUGAAAAUAAUAGAAAGAGAGAGAGUAACGAGGAAAAUGAUGGACGUUCCGCGAGUUUUGUCAGAGAUGGAUUUUAAGGGGGUGUCCGGAUAGAUUUCUCAUUUUCUUUUUUUUUUUUUUCGACGAUAUAUGUAUAUAGGAUUCUGGGACUACGUUGAAACGAUACAUUUUUUUCCAAUUUAUUCCAUUUUAAAGAUGAAACGGAUCGAUACGGAUUCAAUGUCGGAAGAAGAGACGAGAAGUUACCGGUUUCGCGGCCAAGUCAAUUAACUCCUUCGAUUACGGUGCUUAAAUAGAAUCUCGGCCGCUCGAACGGGAACGCUUUUCAUUUACGUUUAAAUGAGUUUAAUUAAAUGAAAUUGUUACUCUUUUUUCUUUCUUUUUCUUUUUUCUUUUUACAGUUCUAGAUGUAUUACGUUCACGUAGGGCGGUGCAGAUGUGACGAGGAUCGGGGAGAAACGAAUCCCUGAUCGGGAACAGGAUUGAUGGAAGGAAGAGGAGACCUGUCCGGAAUUAUUUAAAAUUUAAAACAAGCAGAGAAAAGCAGCGUGGAUAGAUCCUCAUGCACUCCGCGCCGUAGCCUGAAAUUAGGACCCCAUUUUCUUAGACACCGUGAAACAUGAUUUUGGACAACCCGAGCUCGACCUCGCCUACUAAAUCUUCAAAACUCGUGGAAUCUCUGGCCAACCAGAUCUCGGAAUCCUGAUUUCGCAAGACUCGAGUCGUGGGACUUCGUCCAAGGUCGCGGAUUAUCGGCUGGAUUGGGCCACCGCGGGAUUGUUGAAUCUAACCUAGUAAGGCUUGAAAAUCGAUAGACCUUGGCCAGUAAGAUCCACUCCACAAGCCAUCCGUGGAAUCUUGCCCAGUAAGAAUCCAAGAGUUGUUUGCCGGAACCGGCCUAGUAAGACACCACUCGAACGGAUCUCGGCUAUGAGACCUCACUUGAAACCUUCAACCGUGGAGCCUCGACUUCUCUUCUGCCACCUCUCCUCUUUCAUACAGUUUCCAUGAAUCCGUAAUUCUAUAUCUUGAAAUUUCUCUCCUUCAAGAUUUCUUUCCUUUUUCUUUGUCUUCGAGUUUCCAAACUUUGCUUAGAUUUUAUCGUUCUAUCUUCACAUAAAUCUUCCUAUAUCAUUUCGUGCAGUUUUAAAAACCUCAAAGAAUAAACUUGUUUCACAAGAUUAUAUGAAUUUAUAUAAUUCAUACAAUUCAUAACGAUAAUUAUUAUCGUCGAAUCAAGAAACAAUUCCAAAGCAAAGAGCGCCAAUUUCCUUGCGCCUAUCGCACAACGAUCGAGAGCAAUCAAGGAAAAACAGGCAACGCUAUCUCAUCCCGUAUACAACUUCCUUCUUACCCGCUCUUAACCUAAUUGGCCGUGAUAAUAUUUUUAGCGCACGAUUUUGCCCAUUCCAAACCGCUCGAAUGAAUUUGCCAAGGAAAUUCCACCGGCAGCCUGUUUCCGUAUCGACGCCAUUCCCAAAAAUUUCAAAUCGUGCAGAAAUAACACGAAAUCGAAAACGUGUUAUCCUUGGACGAGGUUCCCUCGUAUUGCAAUCCGUGUGUUAUGUAUCCCACGCUCUACGUGUCCGCCAAGUUUGUUAUUCAAGAGUAUUCACUGAACUUUGGGGAAAGCCCUCGUACACGGGGGCUGUAAAUUCGUCGGCGCUACUACGUGUCGCGGCUUCGCGAUACAUCGAUCUUUAUUGGGUAUAAAACAAGACAAGGGUGGUAAUGCCUCUGCACAAAUGGACAACAAUCUUCGGUGCUCGGUUAAUAUUCCGUGUUUGGAAUUGGAAGGUGUUUUCGGUGUGGGUUAUCGCGCUGCUUGCACAUUUAUCGAACGUUAUUAAGAUGUGAAAUAUUUAGACGACGAAGGUGAUGAUAUUAUUAUCGUUCGA